Molecule: long non-coding RNA, 2948 nt
Organism: Equus asinus (donkey)
Lineage: Eukaryota; Metazoa; Chordata; Mammalia; Perissodactyla; Equidae
Source: Ensembl
GGGCGCUCCUGCAAGUGCGGGCUCGCCCAGUCCUCACGGCGCUUCUGAGGCAGCGGGACUGUCCCCACCACGCAGGGGGAAGCUGAGGCCCAGGCAGACCCGGUGAUGCUUUUUGGGUCUCACAAGUGAUGAUAAAAAGUAACUACCCGCAAGUUACGGCUACUUAUUUAUCUGCUGCCAGCUACUCUGAUGCGUCCUGCUACCAGAGCUUAGAAAAAAGCCUUUCCCAGCUUCGUCUGCAGAAAGCUUGCCAUCGAGCACUCCAGGCUACACUGAAGGGCUCUUGGACAACGAAGCAAGCGCGCCUCUAAUCCCGCUGCUCAGUGCGACCUGCGUGCACUGGCUCUGGAGCCAGCAGGACCACUCGUGUGCAGGACCACGUCCAGGGAUGCUCAGACUCCUUGAAGGAGAAGCCUCUGGAAAAUGGGGAUGCAAUCUGCCUUACAAGGAGGGUAGAGACACCACAAAGCAUCCUGCACACCAGGCCUGGUGCACGCUAAGUGCUCUCUCUUCCUUUUGAAAAAAUGAGCCAUAACGUCAGAGAUAACGGAAUUUCAAAACAGUGUUAAUGCAAACAAAUAUCGAGCUGGUGUUGCUCCAGCCGGCGUGGCCACCCGGGAGACAUUUUGGAGGAGGUAAGCAUCUCUCGUGACUUUAAAAUCACUUCGGCCAAGCACCGUCAGCCCAGCUCCGCCAGAAGUCCGUCACCGCGCACCCCCGAUCUGGGGACUGCCCCUGCGCCCGCUGGCACUCUAGAGUCCACUGACCCGAAGGCUCUUUCUUCCUUCUCCUUGAAGAAGGUGUUUAAUCACCAUGUUAAAAGGCCAAAAAUAUCAGCAGUGGUGGAAGUAGGUUGAGGUGUUUAAACUGCAACAGGUUCAUUUUCAGCGCUUAAAAUACCAUUUCAGCAACAUUACCAAAGCACAAGUUAUGAACUAGAGUUGCUUUUAUUAUUCAGUAUGACUUGGUAAAAUUACGCCUUACCUGAUUUUUACAUUGUCAGCUUGAUUACUGACUAUACUUGAAGAAAAUUAACGUGAACAAUCUCAAUUAAAACACAUGAAAAUAAUUUUUAAAGAUAAUCCUUAAAUCAGACUGGAUAUCAUAAGUUUUUCAGAAUUAAUAAUGUUUCAUUAAUUUCUUAAACAAAGAGACAAAAAAAGUACAAAACGUGAGUGGCAAAAAAAGGUAUAUUUAAGUGAAAUAAAACUUAACAUUUUGGCAAAAAACAAAUACCAUAAACCAAGUUAAAAGUCAACCCACCACCUGAGAGAUUUCCCAACACAGAUAAUCAACAGAGAAAGUCAAUAAGAAAAGGCAAACAAAUCAAUAAAGAAAAUAAGCAAAUAGUUUGAACACGCGGUUCUUGGAAGAGCGAAGCCACUGCCCAAUAAACACGAACAGACUUGUAACCACACCAACAAUCGGGGAAAAUGCAAAUUAAACAACAAAGAAGGCACCACAUCACAGCCUGCGAUGGGCAAACAGGCUCAAGCGUGCCAUUACCAGGGGCCGGGAUGGAACUGACACAGCAGGAGCCGCCCACCUUGCGGGCAGGAGGCUCUAGGAAACUCCACGACCACUUUGGAAAGUGGCUCAGCAUCACCCGGCAGAGGGGGAACGGCCCCAGGAAUGCACAGGUGGCUUCCUCACCCCAGAGCAGCUGCACCUGCCAGCCUGUGAGACAUGCGCGCCCUCCGCCAGAGCCAGGCCGCCUUACGGGGUGCGUGUUAGGAAGGCUGCUGGCUGAUUUGGGUGCCUGCUCAAGUCUCAGACCAGCACCCCAGAGGUGCUCUCACACUGGUUCUCACCUGUUUCAACAGGACGCUGUGCCAGAACACUAGGGGUGUGGUCCUUGGUAGGUUUGGCUAGGAAGGCGGUCAGACAGACCUUGGUUCGCUAGGACAGAGUGUCACUGAGUCACGGGACAGGGCACAGGUAAUCAGCUCUCAAAUGUACACCUUCCCACAAAGAGAUGCAUACAAGGACGCGCGUAUGAAAAUAAAGCAUCUAAAGCAGUCAAAACAGCUGCCGGCAGAAGAACGGGUACAAUGGUACCUUACACAGCAGAUAAAAUAAAUAAAGUAGGUACACGUGGAUGAGCAGGGAUAAAUCUUGAAAAUAUAAUGCUGAACGAGAAAAAGCAAGUUGCAGAAUGACAACAUGAUACCAUUCAACAUUAAGUUAAAUUCUCACCAAAAAAAUCAAUGUCACCCUUGGAUAAAUAAAUAAGUGUUUGCAUGAAAACAUCAAGGAUGCAGACCUGAGAAGUACAUCUCCUGACCUCGAGAUAAGGUUGUCUGUGGGCAAGAAAUGAGAGGCACGCGAUGGAGGAGCACAAAGAGAACAGCACCGGGAAGAUUCUGUUUUUUUAAAAAGCUGUCAAACACAUGGUAAAAAGUUGAUAUUUGUUAAGUCUGGGUUGGGGUAAAAGAUACUGCUAUGUUAUACCGUGGACUCGUGCAUAUUUGGAGUAUUCCAUAAAAAUAAGGUCAAAAGGGGCUGGCCCCGUGGCCGAGCGGUUAAGUUCGCGCGCUCCGCUGCAGGCGGCCCAGUGUUUCGUUGGUUCGAAUCCUGGGCGCGGACAUGGCACUGCUCAUCAGACCACGCUGAGGCAGCGUCCCACAUGCCACAACUAGAAGAACCCACAACGAAGAAUACACAACUAUGUACCGGGGGGCUUUGGGGAUAAAAAGGAAAAAAUAAAAUCUUUAAAAAAAAAAAAAUAAGGUCAAAAUUUAAAAGUAGCGUUUCAUUAUACUUUUGAAUAUUAGAAACUCCUACUUCUGUACAAAAAGAAAUCUUCCAAAGCCACAGCCUCAAGAGGUAGGGCUUUUAAAACCAAAUCUUUGUGACAUCUAGCGGUAGCAGAAAUAGUUACAAUUUAAUACACAAUUAGAAACAAACUUGAUUCAAGGCAUUAUUAACAUCUGAAUUCUUGUUUUAAU